RNAcentral lists this ribosomal RNA (253 nucleotides) under uncultured bacterium. RNAcentral describes it as "partial 16S ribosomal RNA". It matches the Rfam family "Bacterial small subunit ribosomal RNA", at positions 524 to 776 of the family's 1533-position model. The record is from RNAcentral.
UACGUAGGGUGCGAGCGUUAAUCGGAAUUACUGGGUUUAAAGGGUGCGUAGGCGGCCAUGUAAGUCAGGAGUGAAAGUUUGCGGCUCAACCGUAAAAUUGCUUUUGAUACUGCAUGGCUGGAAUCAGGAUGAGGUCAGCGGAAUGUGGCAUAUAGCGGUGAAAUGCAUAGAUAUGCCAUAGAACACCAAUUGCGAAGGCAGCUGGCUAGACCUGUAUUGACGCUGAGGCACGAAAGCGUGGGGAGCGAACAGG